CAGUCGCCGCGGUAAUGCAGAGGAUUUAAGCGUUAUCCGGAAUGAUUGGGCGUAAAGCGUCUGUAGGCGGAUACUUAAGUCAGGGGUGAAAUCCCGGGGCUCAACCUCGGAACUGCCUUUGAUACUGGGUAUCUUGAGUCCGGGAGAGGUUGGUGGAACUCCGAGUGUAGAGGUGAAAUUCGUAGAUAUUCGGAAGAACACCAGUGGCGAAGGCGGCCAACUGGCCCGGUACUGACGCUGAGGUGCGAAAGCGUGGGGAGCAAACAGGAUUAGAUACCCCAGUAGUCCCUGUCUCUUAUAC
This 301-nucleotide ribosomal RNA is filed under the name uncultured bacterium. Its description in RNAcentral is "partial 16S ribosomal RNA". It matches the Rfam family "Bacterial small subunit ribosomal RNA", at positions 509 to 807 of the family's 1533-position model. The record is from RNAcentral.